CAGAAUAGGUAAAUAAUUAAUUAUAUAACCUUUGUAUUUUUUUGGGGUCAUUAUUAUAACGUAUUAUUAGAACACUAAUUAAAAAAUUAUCUAUUCUUUUUGGGCAUGCAUCGGUGUUAGUAAAAAAUAAUUCAGCCUACUUUAUUAUUUUAAUUAUUUUCUCAUUUACAAACUAAUGAAUUCCAUAUACAUACACACGUGAUUCACAGAGCCCAUCAGCUUCCAGCCAUCCAGAAUUUAUUUUAAUAUGGCUGGCUUACCAAUAUAAAUCAUCAUUUAGCUAUAAGCUUAUUACCUUUAGCUGUCUUUUUCUUUUUCUUUUAUGAACUUUUUCGUUAAUACACACCGUACAAGAGACAAAAAUUUU
This 367-nucleotide long non-coding RNA is filed under the name Arachis ipaensis. RNAcentral's name for it is "long non-coding RNA (AIPA_LNC001974)". Lineage: Eukaryota; Viridiplantae; Streptophyta; Magnoliopsida; Fabales; Fabaceae. The record is from RNAcentral.